UCGAACGAGCUUAGAGAGCCUGCUUUUUAAGCUUAGUGGCGAACGGGUGAGUAACGCGUGAGGACCUGCCCUAGAGUGGGGGACAACAGUUGGAAACGACUGCUAAUACCGCAUAAGACCGCAUGGUAAAAGAUUUAUUCGCUUUAGGAUGGACUCGCGUCCAAUUAGCUAGUUGGUGAGGUAACGGCCCACCAAGGCACGAUUGGUAGCCGGACUGAGAGGUUGAACGGCCACAUUGGGACUGAGACACGGCCCAGACUCCUACGGGAGGCAGCAGUGGGGGAUAUUGCACAAUGGGGGAAACCCUGAUGCAGCGACGCCGCGUGGAGGAAGAAGGUUUUCGGAUUGUAAACUCCUGUCGUUAGGGACGAUAAGACGGUACCUAACAAGAAAGCACCGGAUAACUACGUGCCAGCAGCCGCGGUAAUACGUAGGUGGCAAGCGUUGUCCGGAAUUAUUGGGCGUAAAGCGCGCGCAGGCGGCUUCUAAGUCCAUCUUAAAAGUGCGGGGCUUAACCCGUGGUGGGAUGGAAACUGGGAGGCUGGAGUAUCGGAGAGGAAAGUGGAAUUCCUAGUGUAGCGGUGAAAUGCGUAGAGAUUAGGAAGAACACCGGUGGCGAAGGCGACUUUCUGGACGACAACUGACGCUGA
Molecule: ribosomal RNA, 650 nt
Filed under: uncultured bacterium
Lineage: Bacteria
Description: bacterial SSU rRNA
Rfam family: Bacterial small subunit ribosomal RNA
Source: RNAcentral